Molecule: ribosomal RNA, 436 nt
Filed under: uncultured Lachnospiraceae bacterium
Lineage: Bacteria; Bacillati; Bacillota; Clostridia; Lachnospirales; Lachnospiraceae
Also listed under: 1 other name
Description: bacterial SSU rRNA
Rfam family: Bacterial small subunit ribosomal RNA
Source: RNAcentral
ACGGGAGGCAGCAGUGGGGAAUAUUGCACAAUGGGGGAAACCCUGAUGCAGCGACGCCGCGUGAAGGAUGAAGUAUUUCGGUAUGUAAACUUCUAUCAGCAAGGAAGAAAAAAUGACGGUACUUGACUAAGAAGCCCCGGCUAAAUACGUGCCAGCAGCCGCGGUAAUACGUAUGGGGCAAGCGUUAUCCGGAUUUACUGGGUGUAAAGGGAGCGUAGACGGCAAGGCAAGUCAGAAGUGAAAGCCUGGGGCUCAACCCCGGAACUGCUUUUGAAACUGUCUAGCUAGAGUGCAGGAGAGGUAAGUGGAAUUCCUAGUGUAGCGGUGAAAUGCGUAGAUAUUAGGAGGAACACCAGUGGCGAAGGCGGCUUACUGGACUGUAACUGACGUUGAGGCUCGAAAGCGUGGGGAGCAAACAGGAUUAGAUACCCUGGUA